CCUACGGGAGGCAGCAGUGAGGAAUAUUGGUCAAUGGACGAGAGUCUGAACCAGCCAAGUAGCGUGAAGGAUGACUGCCCUAUGGGUUGUAAACUUCUUUUAUAUGGGAAUAAAAUGUUCCACGUGUGGGAUUUUGUAUGUACCAUAUGAAUAAGGAUCGGCUAACUCCGUGCCAGCAGCCGCGGUAAUACGGAGGAUCCGAGCGUUAUCCGGAUUUAUUGGGUUUAAAGGGAGCGUAGGUGGAUUGUUAAGUCAGUUGUGAAAGUUUGCGGCUCAACCGUAAAAUUGCAGUUGAAACUGGCAGUCUUGAGUACAGUAGAGGUAGGCGGAAUUCGUGGUGUAGCGGUGAAAUACUUAGAUAUCACGAAGAACUCCGAUUGCGAAGGCAGUUCACUGGACUGCAACUGACACUGAGGCUCGAAAGUGUGGGUAUCAAACAGGAUUAGAUACCCUAGUAGUC
RNAcentral lists this ribosomal RNA (460 nucleotides) under uncultured bacterium. RNAcentral describes it as "partial 16S ribosomal RNA". It matches the Rfam family "Bacterial small subunit ribosomal RNA", at positions 338 to 795 of the family's 1533-position model. The record is from RNAcentral.